Non-coding RNA from Burkholderia sp. TSV86, 84 nucleotides. Lineage: Bacteria; Pseudomonadati; Pseudomonadota; Betaproteobacteria; Burkholderiales; Burkholderiaceae. The record is from Rfam.
ACGGCUCUCAGGUUCUGGCAGAGUGGCCCUCGGAUAAACGCCGGAACCUUUUUAGGCCGACCGUCUACGGUCGGCCUCUUUCUA